UUUUUGCGCCAUAUGGAAACCUUAUUUAGUGGUUUCACACUUUUUUUUCAGAAAAUGUAAAAAAAUUUUUAUAUAUAUUUCUUCAUAGUUUUAAAUACAAAAUGAGUCAUUUUACAGAGGAGAGAAUUAUUCUUUUAUUUUUAUAAAUGGGUUAAAUAGACAAAUAUGCAACAAAGGAGAUACAGACAAUCUAGGAUUCAUGGAUAUAGUCUGAAUUCUGAAUCAGGCCCUUCUACUUUUUACAAAUGUAGAGAAAAUUAGGAAGAAAAUCAUUAAACACAUGUGACUGCAGCAGAGAGUUGAAUGUACAUUGUAUAUUGCAUACUUGUAUACCACAUAUUUAUUUCAUACUGUACUGUUCAUAAAAAUAAGAAAGAAAAUAAAACAUUUAACUAGCUUAAUUUCUUUUUAGUCUCCCCUGCUCAGAACUGGACGGCCAAGCAAAUAAAAAGACAAUAAUUGUAAUGUGGUUUAGUUAGUAAGUUAUGAUCAAUAAACAAUCUUCUAAGUGGAGAUUAAAAACAAAAAGUUGUGUUUUUUUUUUUUUUUAAUUAAAACUUAAAUAACCAAGAAAGUUGGUAUAAUAUAUGGUGCUCAGUUUGAUUGACAUUGUGUUACAUAAUCUUUUUUGAUUUCUAUGGAUCUAUUAAAGUGAUUCAGAAGUUCUGCACUUUAAGUGGAAUUCCAAUUGGCUUUGUAGGUGUCAGUGAUUGAAAUAAGCAUCAUUGUUUUCACAAUCAGAUAGUGUAUGAUUACAUAAUUUCUUUUCACAUGUAAACAUGCAUGAUGUUGGCUUUGUCCCGGUGAAAACGCAACGGUUUUAAUGUGCAAUGCAUGUGAAUUGCAAUGCAAUACGACUGUAGUGUUAGUAUAGUUAAAAUAUUUUACAUUUUAUAAUGCACAGAAAAGGGAGUUUAUCUUAAAUGCAGGAUUACAUUUUCACUUUCACUUUUCCAUCUCAUGCCACUUCACACGCAACACUGACCCGGUUCUCUGCAGGAAAACAACACAAGUUCCUCCCUCCAGUCGAAAACACAUGUAGCACUUGCUUAACAGUGUAUAUCAUUACACUUGCUUCUGCUCUCACUAAAUGCAUGGGGAUUAUUAUUUGAUAGUUACUUCAAAUUUGGGCCUUGCAAGUCAUCAUAAUACCUCCCAACUAUGGUAAAUAUGUUCUUAUGUGCAUGGCUGCCAGUGGUUUUGGCACAGAUGAGCGAUCAAAACAAAGGUGGGGUUUUAUUUGGCCUUCUCGGGUGCCACAGGCUCCGUUUGCACUCCGGCAUCAGAAUGGCGUUUUUGGCCCUGUGAGACACACCAACGCAUAACGCAACAUUAGAGAUCCUAACUUAAAGUGUGUGUUUUUUACCACUCAUCCAUAAUGGUGCCUGAAGCAAAACCCUUUGCAACCCAUCUGACAACUGGGCCUUUAUCUGCUAAAGCAGAUCCUGCUCCAGUGCAGCUUUGGAGACUUUCUGUGCUUUAUUAUCUGUGAUAAUCUAGUUGUUUUGUCUGAGAAAACUGACUGGGAUGAUCCCGCUUGAAAUAACCAUAAUUGGGGACAAUUAUAUUUAUAUUACAUGACAAAAAGUAUAUUUUAUUUAUGAAGAAGUUGUACAUUGCAACAAAGAUUAGAAUUACAUAUUUAGAUAAUGAUAUUUCAUGCAAUAUUAUUAGAUUUCAUGCAAUAAAAAAAAAUACAUGCAAUAUAUUUGUACCUAAUUUAAUUAAAUAUUUUCACUUUUUUUUUUUUAAUCUGCAUUUAUUAAAAUACAAAUACACUGAUGUGGAAUUGAUUUAAUAAUCCAGAUAAGUUGGUAAUCAAUGCCAUCUAGUGUUCAUACACUGUAAAUGUUGAUUUUUGUAUUGUAAUUAGUGCUGAUUAAUCGCAUCCAAAAUAAAAGUUUUUGUUUACAUAAUAAAACACUUGUUUUGGAUGCAAUUAACCAUUUGACAGCACUUAUUGUAAUUCAUCGCCCUAAAAGAUCACGGUUUUAAGAUUAAUAGCCAGCAAUAUCAAAAUAAUCAGGAUGGUUAGACAUUGGACAGGAUUACAAAAUGUUUUUCGACAGCAUUUAACUGGAAAACUACAUACAGCUGAAGAGUUAAACUACACAGAUUGCAAAUGCUCACAGGUUUGUGUGGAAUCCCUAGCCCUGGAGAAUCUAUGGGUUUCUACUUAACCAGGUUUUUGAAGAACAGCUGGAGGGAGUUCCUCUUCUCUAGCUUGCGGGGCAUGUUUGGGGAGGCGUUAUCUGUGCUUUCAGCUGAUUUGUUGUCCGGGGCCACUUGCGGUGCGGGAGUGGCGGGUUUCACCUCCUCUUUGGCCUUCACGGCUGGAGCGGCUUCUGCCAUGGGAGGAGCAGCUGGAGUCUCCUUCUUGGGCUCUGAUGCCUUCUUGGGUUUGAACAUGCUUCCAAAAGUGGAUUUCUUCUCGAGUUUCUUCUCCUCUGGUUUUGGUGCUGGAGGUUCUUCAGGUUUGGCGGCGGCCUCGAGAGUGCUGCUCUUAGACGCGUCGACCUGAUGUGUCAGAGAAAGAUCAGAGAAGACUGUUUCAUAUAUACAAUAAAUGAAAAGAACAGUGAGAGGAUUGAAGAAGAUGGUCAGUCUAUCUAUUU
Long non-coding RNA from Cyprinus carpio carpio, 2615 nucleotides. NCBI's taxonomy places the organism in Eukaryota, Metazoa, Chordata, Actinopteri, Cypriniformes, Cyprinidae. The record is from Ensembl.